UACAAGCCGGGGUGAUACACUAUUGCGGAUUUCUCCACAGCGAGCGUUCUCUCUUUUUGCCCCUCAGAAACCCAAAUUCCAAAAGAGGGAAUAAGAAAUGGGAAGCAUAGGAUAGCAAUGGGCGGGUCUGUUGCGGGUGCCUGGGGACACAUCCACGAUUGGACGGGAACCGAGCAGCCGGAGCUUGAAGCUGUGGAGAGAAGUGCAAACUAACUUCUACAUGCCUUUCCAGCCUUACCUCCUUACUGACUGCAGGAUAUGGUCGGGAUACGGACGGAAUCAUUAUAUGGGCGCAAUCAUAGUUCAGAAAAAGAGACUUUUAAAAUUAAAUUUUGUCUCUGAUACCAAGUUUGUUUGAAAAAUUAAAAUAUGAAC
Molecule: small RNA, 375 nt
Filed under: Histoplasma ohiense
Lineage: Eukaryota; Fungi; Ascomycota; Eurotiomycetes; Onygenales; Ajellomycetaceae
Description: hypothetical lncRNA
Source: RNAcentral